UGUAUGUGAGUGCAGCCGCAGGAAUCGUCUUGGCAGGUCUGGCCGAAAGUGUUGGCGGCAGACCUGAUGGCGAUUCGAUCGCAGGAGAGCGAACAGACCAGACCAUCACAGAUCCAGCUCCUCCCGAGGCCGUCAGCCCAGAUGCCAUCGUGAAAGCGCUGUCCAUAGUAAUAGCCACAAAGGCUAAUUUAUUUUUAAGGCUGAAGGAACACGUCAGCGCUGCCAACCGUGGAGUAUACGGAGGUUCGUCCUUAACUGGAAUUUCGAGCACCGUUUGGGUCGAAGCCGCGUCGAGUUCCCCUUGUAAAUUCCCUCUGCAAGCCGACUUGUGGUUUCAAAUUCUCAAGUUAUCUCUUUCUAAGAGUAGUGUUAGUUUUGAGGAUUUCUUCGCACCAGUGAUCAACAAUGUGGUUCUCAAUUACCUGCCUCACACUUCUGGCUGUGUCCUGCUUUAAAGGUAAUUUUAAUACUUGACAGUAUGAUUCUCGAAUUCUUCAGUCCUAGGACGCGAAAAGCGACGCGACGCGACAAGACGUGUCGUAAAUCGCUCCCGUUGAGUUGUAAUUUUCAUAGUGUUAAAUGCAAACAUCAAUUUUAAUAUAGUAACUACGUAUAAAUAAACUUUGAGUGAACCCAUUUUCGUGGUAGUCAGUGCUUCAGUGCUUGUGUGUGUCCAGAAAACUGAGAAAUACAAAUCACACAAAGCCUGCGAUCCAUCAAAGGAAUGCUAAGAAUCUAUAGAAUUCAAUCGAUCUUGAACUGAUAUGUCGCUUUAUCACUCACCGCGCGGCACAAAGCUAAGGUCACGGAUAAAGUCGCCCAAUGUUGUGGUAUCUACAUCAAAUUCCAGCCGUUCCCUUGUUGCCACACGGACCAUCGGCUCAGUUACUAAGCCCGAUUUCACGACUGAAUCAGACCAUCGAUUACUACGGUCCACGGCCAAAAAACUGUCGGCUAUCAGUACUCCCAAUAUUUCACCGACUGCAACACCCGAAAUGUCAACAUCGCAAACCAAGAAAGCAUCACCACACACUCUGAUGGCUAAGAGUAACAUACUAGCAAGCGAUGAGGCGAGGAAAAAAAGGAGAAAAGCGGCAACAACAACACCUGAUAACUUAACGACCUCUGGCGACCAGAAUAGGAAGAAAACCCUCAAUAAGAAAAUGUCAACAAAUUCGGACGCAUCAUCUAUCAUCAGUCACAAGGAAGCUCCUUCAAGCAACAGGAUACCACAGGUGAAACGGAAAUCGGAUAAACAACCUCCACCCGAUGACAUGGAACCGGAGAAUAGUGACCGCAUAUGUGAACUAACAUGUCAGCGUGAUGCUUUGAUCAAAGAAAUUACCGACAUUAAAAAUGAAAAUAGUACUCUGUCAAAUUCAAACUUAAAAAUGAGGAAAGAGAUCGGGUAUUUAAAAAAAGAAAUUGUAAAGUUAAAAAGCGAUUCGAGAAGUAAAGAAUAUGUUGAAGAGCUUCAUUGUCAACGUGAGGCCCUAAUCAAAGAAUAAGCGGAUUAUAAAAAAAGCAAAUAAUUCUCUGUCGAACACAAAUUUAAUACUAAGCAAUAAGUCUGAAUCUUUAAAUGAAAAUGUUUUAGAACUGAAUAAAAUGUUAAAUAAUAAAUCAAAAGAUAUAGAAUCCCAAUUAGCUGAAAUAAAGUUAAGUAAUAUAAAAAUCCAAAAACUAAUUAGGGACAAUAAGAAACUAGCAGAUCAACUAUUGUCACAUGAAAACACUGAUGACAUCCUACUAUCAAAAACUAAUACCAAUAUAAGGCCAAAAAAUAAUCCUGCCAGUAUAUCACCUGAAAUUUUGAGAGAGAAGUUUAAUCACUCUUUUACUCCAGAUGCCCUACAGAAUAGUACUAAAAGAAACUUAUUAUUACUCAGUGCUUCACAUGGUCGAGGUUUAUCUUCUAUUUUCAGAGAUAUUUUAGGUAGUAAUAGCAAUUUUAAUAUAAUAUCUAUUUUCAAACCAAAUGCAAUGAUCGAAAAUGUAAUUGAAAAUCUAGAAGAUCUAACUAAAAAUUUCACUGAGGAAGAUAUUGUUGUUGUCAUUGGUGGCUCAAACAACUUUAAUUCUCACAGCAGAUGGAAUGGCAACUGGUGCUAUCAUAAAUUGAAUGACAUAAUUGAGCGUGUUAAAAAACCAAAAAUUUUAUUCAUGAAGUACUACCUAGAUACGACCUACCACCAAACGUGUAUAAUCAAUUUUGUCAAUUCGGAGGUGCUAUGAACAGUAUGUUUUCGAGGAUAGCCUCAAAUACCAAUAAUGUUAAAAUACUUCCGAACAAAGUAGUUGACAGAGUCCAUUUUACUAAUCAUGGGUUACACCUAAAUAGAUGGGGGAAAAAGUUGUUCGUAAAUGCAAUCAUGACAACUAUAGAUAAGAUCUGUGAAGUAAUUAAUUUAAACGAGUAGACUAUGACAAAGAAAAAAAUCUUUUUCUGCAAAGUAAGAGUGAUGUUAGGUCAGUAGUGAAUAGGACUCUGUUUAAUGUUAAGGAGACUGAAAUGUUAUCAAGUGUAAAAGAGGAAACAUUUCUGGUAUUUAUAAAUAUAAGAUCGAUAACCAAAAAGAUAGAGAAACUGGAAGUGUUC
This 2599-nucleotide long non-coding RNA is filed under the name Bemisia tabaci. RNAcentral describes it as "lncRNA ENSSSA2NGG005108". The record is from RNAcentral. Lineage: Eukaryota; Metazoa; Arthropoda; Insecta; Hemiptera; Aleyrodidae.